Long non-coding RNA from Neopsephotus bourkii (Bourke's parrot), 672 nucleotides. RefSeq lists it as uncharacterized. The transcript has 2 exons. Lineage: Eukaryota; Metazoa; Chordata; Aves; Psittaciformes; Psittacidae. The record is from RefSeq and is a predicted model, not a curated record.
AAAUAAAAAAAAAUUACUAAUUUUUUCCAGGGAAAAUAUAAGCAGAACUAUCCUGAUUCUGCCACCAAAAUCAAACAACUUAUCCUUAUGUUUCAGUUUCUUCUCUGCAGUAUGAGGAUAGAGAUAUUGCAGUUUUUGUGAGGUGGUUUGAGAGCUACAACUGUAAGUGCAAGCUAACACAGCAGUGCUUUCCUUUGAUGCUGAAUGCUGAGCAUGAUGCAGGACUAAGAAGUUACUGGGUAAAUAAUAGCAUAUGAGAGUCAUAGAUAAUGACAUUUGUGUUUUUAUGCAAUGUGAUGUGAUUUAGUUUGUUUCCUUCUCUGUUUUUUUCCCGUGGGGGAAAGCAGGCAACUGUUUUUUCCAGUGCUGAGUUGUAAUCUACAAAGCUGAUUUUGACAAAAAAUUAGCCUAUGAUCUCUUGAUGAAUGAUCAAAACAGAGAUACUACGUGUUCCCGACCUAAUGGGUAGCUGGUUAUCUGAUGAGUGCUCAUGGAAGAGAUUAUUAUCUCAUUUCUCAAUCACGGCUGGGAAGUCACCAGGACACUUUUGUGAAGGACAUCUAGCCAGCUCUGCUCACCUUGUGAAGCAUUGUCCCAGCACAGGUUAGCCCCUCUCCCUUUGGCAUAUCACAGCUGAGUUGCAGCUACUCAUAGACAUAGCCCAGAUAGAUA